GGGCAGAUGGCCGAGCGGUCGAAGGCAACGGUCUUGAAAACCGUAGGCCGGAAACGGUCCGAGGGUUCGAAUCCCUCUCUGCCCGCCA
RNAcentral lists this transfer RNA (88 nucleotides) under Flavonifractor sp. An82. RNAcentral describes it as "tRNA-Ser". It matches the Rfam family "tRNA". Rfam says of the family: Transfer RNA (tRNA) molecules are approximately 80 nucleotides in length. Lineage: Bacteria; Bacillati; Bacillota; Clostridia; Eubacteriales; Oscillospiraceae. The record is from RNAcentral.